RNAcentral lists this ribosomal RNA (784 nucleotides) under Anthophorula completa. RNAcentral describes it as "SSU rRNA". It matches the Rfam family "Eukaryotic small subunit ribosomal RNA", at positions 457 to 1201 of the family's 1831-position model. The record is from RNAcentral. Lineage: Eukaryota; Metazoa; Arthropoda; Insecta; Hymenoptera; Apidae.
CGGGGAGGUAGUGACGAAAAAUAACGAUACGGGACUCAUCCGAGGCCCCGUAAUCGGAAUGAGUACACUUUAAAUCCUUUAACAAGGACCAAUUGGAGGGCAAGUCUGGUGCCAGCAGCCGCGGUAAUUCCAGCUCCAAUAGCGUAUAUUAAAGUUGUUGCGGUUAAAAAGCUCGUAGUUGAAUCUGUGUGUCACAGUGUCGGUUCACCGCUCGCGGUGUUUAACUGGCAUUAUGUGGUACGUCCUACCGGUGGGCUUAGCUCCUUGCGGGCGGUCCAACUAAUCUCCCAUCGCGGUGCUCUUCACUGAGUGUCGAGGUGGGCCGGUACGUUUACUUUGAACAAAUUAGAGUGCUCAAAGCAGGCUACCUUCGCCUGAAUAUUGCGUGCAUGGAAUAAUGGAAUAGGACCUCGGUUCUAUUUUGUUGGUUUUCGGAACCCCGAGGUAAUGAUUAAUAGGGACAGAUGGGGGCAUUCGUAUUGCGACGUUAGAGGUGAAAUUCUUGGAUCGUCGCAAGACGGACUAAAGCGAAAGCAUUUGCCAAAAAUGUUUUCAUUAAUCAAGAACGAAAGUUAGAGGUUCGAAGGCGAUCAGAUACCGCCCUAGUUCUAACCAUAAACGAUGCCAGCUGGCGAUCCGCCGAAGUUCCUCCGAUGACUCGGCGGGCAGCUUCCGGGAAACCAAAGCUUUUGGGUUCCGGGGGAAGUAUGGUUGCAAAGCUGAAACUUAAAGGAAUUGACGGAAGGGCACCACCAGGAGUGGAGCCUGCGGCUUAAUUUGACUC